AGCAGCUAAAUCCAUGCCUGAAAUACAGGUGAGCCCUGGCCUGAUCUUGGAAGCAAUCUUCUUUGUUCCACGCUCUGCUGCUUCUUGCUGAAGUUGUAUUUGUUAUUUCUGCUAUCUUUCUCAACACUGGAAGUGCAGAUUCUCUCAUCAGGAAGAAACUGUAGGAAAGCAUUUGGGCACUGUGAGUGACAUAGUGCUUCACCUGGGGAAGCCACAGCUCUGAGCAAUGCAGGACUACUGCAGAACCAGCGAGGAACAGCAGUAGGAGCCUGGCUGGACGGAGAGAUCCUACCAGGGGGCAGCAUGAAGACAUACUUUCACAGAGGCAGCAAAUGAAGAAAAGAAAAAGGAAGCCACCCCAGCACCUUCUACCUUCUGCUUUGAUCAAGGCCAUGCAAAGAGGCUGGAUGAGGCCCAUUUGCAACCAAGACAGUUGUGGUUCUGGUCCACUGGAGCUGUGCAGCCACACGUGCUACUUUCCAUAAGGCAGGAGGUGAGCAGAGACCCUGGUCCAUCUCACAAUCCCAGCCCAAGUGACAGAUAUCAGUCCGCCAUAGCUCCAUGCUCCUGCUCUGAAGUGUGUGAUUGUGUUGACCUCUAGUGGCUGCAAGGAAGAGAGGGCCAGACCUCCAGGUGAAUGAAGCAUACAGAAUGUUAUAGCUACGUUUGUUGGAACAGCAUUCCAUAAAAACCACAACUCAUAUAUUCAUGUUCUCCUUGCCCUCUGUGAUAUAGAUUUUGUGAUCCUCCAAGACAUGCUUUGGCCAUUUCACAUUCAUGAUGCACAGGUCCUCCAGGAUCCUCCAGGAACAUCUCCAGUGAGGCUGCUUAGGAGACUGCCUUCACAGGGCGGACAGGGAGCAGGCUGUCCCUGAGCAAAGCUCUCACGAACCAUUGCAUUAGAAACAAGGAUUUGUAGAUUUGGGUAUUGCAUCCUUUAGGUGUGUUCUUCUUUUCCAGCCAAGACAUAGAAAUUUUGAUUGGGCUAAGGAAAAUUCUGGCCAUUUCAAAUGAUUCUGUGAAUCAACUCUCUGUGGAACAUUUUCUCUUUUCAGUGAAAAGUACCAUUUACUGGUUUUGCUGAUGGUACAGAUAAACCAAAAGGAUUGUUCUUGAUCCUGUGUGGAAGCAGCAGCUCUUCUGCACAGUGGUGGCCCUAAGGCAGCCCUUGAUGUUGGGUUUCUGGGCUAGAGGUCAGCCCUGUCCCUGUGCCUUCCAGUAGAUGUUCAGCUUCACUAGAGCCUGAGAAAACUGUCAGAAGUUUAUCCCAACUGAAGCUCAAUAUUUAGCUGUAAUUGAAGCCAGUACUGAAAGCCUCUGUUUGGAAAAUGUAAAAAAUGGGCUAUUUUGCAUCUGUAACCAAAAGUGGGCAUAAAUAAUUGAUUAUAAAUAAAAAUUGCUAAAAUAUAUCAAGGAUGCCAUCUGUCUUCUUGCCAGUUUUUAUACUGAAUAAUCAAAAAGUUUUAGUGGAGAUGGAUUACAGCAUUUAACACCAGCCGUUUUGUGCACACUGUUAUUAUAAGUUGCCUGUAAUUUUAAAAUUGUGCUGGCGGCUAAAGGAGAUUGCAAUAGGAAAACAAAUACCAGGAAAACCACCAAUACAGCUCUCUGAAAGGGGCACAAAUGGAAUGAUGUGUCUAGCACAUGUCACAACAGUACUGUGGAAGCUUCCCAACUUGCCUUCCAGCUGAGUCCCUGCCUGUUCAGAGCCUGGUGGGGACCAGGGCUGCUGUGGCUUGGUGUUGUCCCAGCUGGGUCCAGGCUUUUCUUGUAGAGAAAUUGCAGUGCAGGAGCCAUUGCUUAUCUGACAAGAAGGUAGCUCUUCACUGGCCUCAAGGUGCUUGAGGCUAUGAAAUAGCUGAACUAGGGACUGCUUUUUCAGAUAUGUUACCUGGCUUAAAUAAAAGAUUACUUCUUCUCACACACUUGUCUUCUUAAGAAGAAAAGAGUAGGGUAUAGAAUAUGAUGACUGCAACCUAGAUACAGGUAGAGUGUGAUGCCAGUUAAUGUCAGUGAAAUGAUGAGGCAGUUUCCUCCUUUUUUUUGUCAGCUUUUUCCUGUAAUUGGACAGAAGCUAUUUAGUAACCCACUUUCCAUGUUUGUUUAAGGUUGUUAUGAGUUUUAGAUGAUAGGAAUCAGACAUAGUGCACUAGUACUAAUUUGAUUAUAUUGAGUCUUACUUGUAAAUUAAAGCCAUAUAUUUAGUUUUCCUGAUCUUAAUCUCACUCCUUAAAUAUUUUUUAAGUAAAUAGCUGAAAGUUUAAUGGCUAAGUUCAAUGAUUAUUCUCAUUACCAUCACAAUGUCUUCUUCUUCUUCCACAUUAUGUCUGACUUAACACACCAAGUCAGUGAGUGGAAUCUCAUCCCUUCAGAAAUGAAGAGUAAAACACCCUUUCAUAUGAGCUAGUUGUUCAUCCUGCAUAUCUGACAGCCGCAGUAAAACAUUUCACACUCCUGUUUGACCUCCCAGUUGGAAGAGUAUGUCAUGUAACUGAUAAGCAGAUUGCCAAGGGGUCCUGAAAGGCUCUGAAUUUAAAAAUGGGUAUUAGAGGGUGAUUACAAAUUCAGUCAGUAAAAAAGCACAUUGUAGGGAUGAGGCUAAUUAUAUUUAAGUGGGAGGCCUGCAACCUGAGUAUUUCCAUCAUUGAUGGCAAAAUAUUCUUAGUGCCUUCUGUUGUAAACAGUAUUAGUCUAGCAGACAUCAGUUUGUGCUUACACUUAAAAGGAAAAAAUAUGUAACUUUUACUGCUAAAUCUUUCUGUGGUUUGCCCUUGGCAGGCUGCCUUCUUCUUACACAUUCUAUAUUGAAAGAGAAACCUUGAACAACGUAACAUAAUUAACAACUUCUGCUUCCAGUGCCUUCCUUUAUCCUUUAAAAGGUGUGCAAGCAAUUGAAAACCAUAACAUUAAUUCAAAGCCACAGCUGGUAUUUUCAAGAGGAACGCAGAAGACAGCUGUGUAGAAACCUGUAUUUUUCUACUUUUAUUAACAAAAUCACAGUUCUGGAAAGCUUUGUGAAACUUGUGCUAAAUUUGAUCUUGCUUCUGAAGCUGUCAUCUAGAAUAUGUAAAUAUUGAAACUGAUGGAGGAGGGAAUAGAGUGAGUCAAAGUAAUUUGUGUUUAUUGUAGGAGUUGUAUUGUUUGAGAUGCUCUAAAUAGAGAAAUGGUACAGAGAUGUCAAAUUGUUUGUAAAUCAGACAAGUACUUCUGUCUCCACUGGUAUCUUUCAUAACUGGCAAUGAGAAGAACAGAUUUAACUAGGUAGAAGCUAUAGUUGGCCCAUUAUAAAAAGUAAUAUGAUUAUUGAUGAUCUCUAGAGGUCCCUUCCAACCCCUAUGAUUCUGUGAUUCUGUGAUUAUGUGCAUGACAAUUUCUUGGUGAGUACUUCUUAUGCUGAAAAUCAUUAUUUCCUAUGUUAGGUCCAAACCAUUUUUGGUCUUUCUAGUUGUGAGAUGUUUUAAGGAUGAAAUGAAAUCUCAUGUGAUGGAAAUAAUUACUGUGUCCUACUUCUUUGUAAUGCCACUGUAUAGUGCAUGCAAAUGGAUGAAAGUAUUACAAAAAAGUUUUUAUUCUCUUUAUUUUGAAGUAACCAUCUUCAGCACCCAGUCCAGCACCCAGUCAGUGGCUUUCACUGUGUGUUGUGUGUAGCGCUCCUUUGUAUUUUAUUAUUUUCAUGCAGAGAUGAACCUUCUGAGUCUUUAAAAAUCCAUAACUACUGGAAACAUCACAAGCCAUUACUGAGAGCAUCACAAACCAUCUGCCAUUCCUGAGCUCCCCCUAACACUUCUCUGUUGGCCUUAGCUUGACCUACAAGGGUUUUUCAUCUCUCUUUUUCAAAUUUCUUUAUUAUUAUUACUAUUAUUAUUAUAUACCCUUCUCCUAUUCCAGACAGUUAAUUAAGGUCUAAGAUG
Meleagris gallopavo (turkey) is the source of this 3911-nucleotide non-coding RNA. The record is from RefSeq and is a predicted model, not a curated record. Lineage: Eukaryota; Metazoa; Chordata; Aves; Galliformes; Phasianidae.